This 633-nucleotide ribosomal RNA is filed under the name Triticum aestivum (bread wheat). Its description in RNAcentral is "partial small subunit ribosomal RNA". The record is from RNAcentral. Lineage: Eukaryota; Viridiplantae; Streptophyta; Magnoliopsida; Poales; Poaceae.
AUGGUUAGCGCUGCCCCGACCCCAAUGCUAGCCUUUCCAAAAACUAAAACUAAAAUUUCCAAGCGACAUGUAGAGAUUUCCGAGGGGAGCUUCUACUUGCAGAGAGAACUAGAAAAUGGUAAUGCACUAGGCAGACUGAUAGAAGAUUAUGCGCAAUCCUUGCACGUGCAUGAUGUCUCAGUACGUGUUAUUCUGCCUGCAACCUAUGAGUGGAGCCUUAGGUGGUGCCGCCUGGAAAGGUGCCUGAAAUUGGAUAUCGGUACCUUCACAAAUACCUAUGAAAUUUGGAAAUUGGAGACCUUCUGGGCGUCGGAGCUCCUAAUGACACGCUGGAUUUGGAGUGAAAGUUCAGCCAUCUUGCUCUACUUCAAGAAUCUAUGCCACCUACACCUACUUCAAGACUUCACCUACGCCCGUCCACUCGCGCUACUACAAGAAGAAACUACCCAGGGUCUCCGUCCUCAGGUGAAGUCUGCACCGCUGCUGCUGUUAGUGCUCUGGAGUUCAAACUUGCCAAUGACAACGAGGGAAGCUCCUCCUCCUGUGUUUGGUUUGCUAUUGUGUUCUUGCUUGGACUGCUAUUUUGUGUUGUGUUGCCAAUAUAUGCCUCAGGCGCGAGAGCCUGUCAAAUAA